This 497-nucleotide ribosomal RNA is filed under the name uncultured bacterium. RNAcentral describes it as "partial 16S ribosomal RNA". It matches the Rfam family "Bacterial small subunit ribosomal RNA", at positions 28 to 507 of the family's 1533-position model. The record is from RNAcentral.
GAUGAACGCUGGCGGCGUGCCUAAUACAUGCAAGUCGAGCGAACAGACGAGGAGCUUGCUCCUCUGACGUUAGCGGCGGACGGGUGAGUAGCACGUGGAUAACCUACCUAUAAGACUGGGAUAACUUCGGGAAACCGGAGCUAAUACCGGAUAAUAUAUUGAACCGCAUGGUUCAAUAGUGAAAGACGGUUUUGCUGUCACUUAUAGAUGGAUCCGCGCCGCAUUAGCUAGUUGGUAAGGUAACGGCUUACCAAGGCAACGAUGCGUAGCCGACCUGAGAGGGUGAUCGGCCACACUGGAACUGAGACACGGUCCAGACUCCUACGGGAGGCAGCAGUAGGGAAUCUUCCGCAAUGGGCGAAAGCCUGACGGAGCAACGCCGCGUGAGUGAUGAAGGUCUUCGGACCGUAAAACUCUGUUAUUAGGGAAGAACAAAUGUGUAAGUAACUAUGCACGUCUUGACGGUACCUAAUCAGAAAGCCACGGCUAACUACGUG